This is a long non-coding RNA of Herpailurus yagouaroundi (jaguarundi), 855 nucleotides long. RefSeq lists it as uncharacterized. NCBI's taxonomy places the organism in Eukaryota, Metazoa, Chordata, Mammalia, Carnivora, Felidae. The transcript is spliced from 3 exons. The record is from RefSeq and is a predicted model, not a curated record.
GUCAGGAGACCCGGGGACCCCAGGUCCCGGGGCCGGUGGGCCGGGCCUCCUUGGGGCCGCUCCGCGCGCCAGCCCCCCCAGACCAGAGCCCGCGGCAGCCGACCCGCAGAUUCCUCAUCAGCCAAAGGAGCUCGUUAGAGGGGACAGUUCGCCGCCGCUGUGGGGAGUCUUCUCUCCUGUAAGGACACCAAAGAGGAACGGAGCACACGCUGGAGGCAGGCAGUGUCAGCAGAGAGGAGUCUCACACCCACGCGGGGCAGCAGCGGCCGGGCAGCAGGGGCACCCAGUAGGUGCCACCGGGGCCAUCACCCACACUGCUCCUGUGAGCGUCGCAUAAGAUGCCUCCUGAUGGACAUGCACCCUCACCUUUCUCGGGUACAUUCUGGGACUGCAGUUGCCGGAUCACAGCACUUGUACGCUUGACUUCAUUAGAAAAUGCCGAUCAGUUUUCCAAAGAGAGUUUAACAUUUCCUGCAGCAGGUAUGACAGUUCCAGCUGGACCACAUUUUGGCCAACAGUUCUUAUUAUCAAUCCCUUGGUUUUGGGUGUGAAAUGGUACCCUACUGUGGUUUAAUUUGCAUUUUCCUCAUUGCUAAAGAAGUUGUGAACAUUUCACAUGCUUCUUAGCCGUUUGGAUUUCUUCUUUAACACAGUUAAACAUAGUUCAAGUCUUUUGACAAUUUUAACAGAGUUCUUUUUGUUUUACCUAUUGAUUUGGCAUUGUUCUUUGUAUAUUCUGGAUACGAGUUUUUUAUUAGAUCUACUGUUGGGGUGUCUGGGUGGCCUCAGUCGUUUAAGUGGCCAACUCUUAAUUUCAGCUCAGGUCAUGAUCCCACGGUUCAUGGUGUUGAGCCC